AGAGAGAUAUCACUAUUAAUAUAUAGUUCUAUUCCCUUUUCUCCUUUUUCCUUUUUAAAAUACCCGAAAUAAUGUUUCAAUACGCGCGAAUAAUGGAGAAGAGAUGCGAUGCUGGAACAGAUAUCUAAAAUUAACGUUUGUUCUGUACGUAGUGCUAUAUGAGGCUUUAAAAUACGCGCUCGAGAGCAAAGUCGACUAGCUCUUUGAAAUCAAUUUCUGAAAUCGAAUUUUUUGUUGAGCGAAAUAAAGCUUCCGAUUAAAUACUCAAUAAUAAUACAAAGUACGCAGCACUCUUCUUGAUACAUUAUAACAUAUACUGCGAGGGAUUAAUGCGAAAUAAGUAUUCAUAGAUGCUUAUUUAUUCGUGCAGCAACGUAAUGCACGCGGCACUUAUAAGUCUGCCGUUUAUAAUGAGAAACGGCAAUAGACUGUUAAUGCGGUAGAAAAUGUUUCGUUGCUUGCGCUGCAAAUGUAAUACGGACUACACGUAUGUCGACUGAUACGCCGUUGGAAUAAUCGUGGUGUUGUACUACGACAAACGACGUAUGUAACUGUUAACAAUGAUGAAGCAUAAAAUAGUUAAAAUUUUCUCUCGACUUUGCAAGCCACCAGCUUACGUCUCCUCUUCGACAUUCUUCGCGAUGUUAUCUUUCUAUUCCCAAGAGCUCCUUCUGUCUGCGGGAGCGCGCAGACCGGACGCGGCGGAGUGCUCGGCGAGAAUCUACUAGUCACCACUUCGUAUCAAUAUGCAUUAACGCAAAUUUCUUCAGUCAGACUCUGACUCGAGUGUCUCUAGUAGCGACUGUUCGUCAACGCGGAGCGACGCUCAUUCGUAUGGAAAUCUCAUGUGGGUCACAGCAGCACAAGUACGCAGCUAUGACGCCUGGAAACAUGGAUCUCAUGUGUGCGUCACGAUUUCACGCGAAAUUCCGUAUAUUCUAGAGGAAACAUCGCGAGUCAAGCCAGAGUCGUGCAAAUGUUGGAAAAAAUGGAUCAUCUUGUGUCGUGCAGAGUGAAGAGCAGAGAACAAAAACUCAUAUCUAGCCCUAAAUUAAAACCUGGCGCAAUUCAAUCCUGAAUUUUGUAUAGAUGUAGAAUUCGCGUACGUUAUUGUAAAUCGAGAAUGACAUGUUUAGAUCCUAGGAUCGUCCCUCGUGCGUGGGACGUUGAAUUAUUAUCGAACAAAAUUAAUGUGACACGUCGCAAUUGACAAAAUGUAGUAUCACAUUUAAUGUACUGUAAUCUCAUAACUAUCAUCGGAAUUUUUUUAUAGCUGUAAAUGCUGCCUUAUAAAUUUCAUGUACUUGACAGAGAAGCUUGUGUACGAUCACUCAAUUAAAGGGAACAGCAAUAGAACUUUAUCAGGCAGCAGAUACAUACCGAUAAAAAUGAAAGCGGUAUGCUUGAAUUCGCGAGGACGACUUUGCAAGUAGCAGCAGAUGGCAAUGUCUUGUAAUGUUUCGGAAUACCGUGCAGUAUUUCGGCCGAUGAGCAGGCUCGCGGCAUAGCAUGUACAUCCCAGUUUAAUGCAAUCGAUCGAUUAUAUGUAUAUGUAUGUACACAUAUAAAUACAUAUGUAUGGAUUCGCGAAUCCUUGGAUUCAUGGAUCUUCGGCUCUGUACUGAAACUCUGUAUUCAUAUACGCUUGUAUCUUUUCGCGGGUCCCCGCAUCUGCGAAGAGAUACAAGCGCAGAUCAGUUGCAGGUCAAUGAAUCGUCAAAUCUGUUUGACGAAUCGUACAUCUACAGUUUCUCAAACUCGCGCUUUCCAAGAUCAUCGAAUUCGAACAACCUUACAAUUUCACGAAUCUUUUGAUUUACAAAUCGCGCGAUCGCUUUGUUUAAAUUUACAAAUCCCCGGUAAUUUUCCUAGAUCCACAAAUUCCCACGGACACAUAGAUACUAAUACUUUCGCAGUGAAUAUAAUAAAUUUGGAUCCAUGAAUCGUGUUUACGUCCACGAGUCAUAGCUCUGUAAAUAUGUCGUUCUGUUUCUAGAUCCGUGGUGCUAUAAAUCUCUGAUCUCAACGUAAAUCCCCGUUUACAGAUCCUUGGAUUCACUGGUCCGCUUAUCAGACUCUAUUCGUCAUGUAGAAUUAGGAGAGACUAUUUUCCCGUUUCGUCUUCGACGACGAAUACAUGUAUCUUUUUUUUACAUUAUGUAUACAACAUAUAUAUAUAUAAGUAGUGUGUAAUGUAAACGUUUAUAUAUAUACAAUGUAUACUUUAGCUUUAGCAAGGCGUCUAUAAAUUGUACAUAGAAAGACACGAUUAUUAACGUUAAGCGAGCACUAAGAUGGUUUCUAAUGAUGUGCUACGAUUUGAAUACUACUAUUCCCUUUUUUACUCCAUUUUUCGUUCAGUUUCCUCUUUCUCUUCAUUUCUACCUAAUCCCUCCUCGUAUUUUUAUCUUUAGCAAAUUAUUAUAAAAUUUCGCAAAAAAAAAUGUAGUAGCUAUUUCAUUAGAAGUACUUUUGUGAAAGGCGACAAAGGAACGAUAUUUCUUUAACUCAGUGAAACUGUACAUAUAUAUAGCCGAAGUGUACUGUAAUUAAUUAUUACCGACGAGUUUUGGCGAGGGAUCAAACCAAUUUUGCAUACCGGAUAGUCCAAAGCGUUAGCCAAUUUUUGUCGACAUAGAGCUAUAAUGUAACAGAGAGUUAUGAGCGUAUUAAAUCAAUUAUGUUCGUAAA
This is a long non-coding RNA of Vollenhovia emeryi, 2691 nucleotides long. RefSeq lists it as uncharacterized. The transcript is spliced from 2 exons. The record is from RefSeq and is a predicted model, not a curated record. Lineage: Eukaryota; Metazoa; Arthropoda; Insecta; Hymenoptera; Formicidae.